Lathyrus oleraceus (garden pea) is the source of this 899-nucleotide long non-coding RNA. RefSeq lists it as uncharacterized. The record is from RefSeq and is a predicted model, not a curated record. Lineage: Eukaryota; Viridiplantae; Streptophyta; Magnoliopsida; Fabales; Fabaceae. The transcript has 2 exons.
GUGAAGGCCCUUUGGGCUUAGACUGAAGUCCGACUGAAUGAGGGCAAAGGGACGGUGAAGUCCCAUUUUAUGUUCAUCCAUUCCUCUCUCUAAACGUGCUACUUCCAUCUCUUAUAUCUCUCUCUCACCGGAAAUCAUCGCACCAGAAGCGGAGGAGCCACCCAGAAAUACCAAAAACCACCAUCGUUAAGCUCCCCUUCCUAUCCUUUUUCCAUCUCUUAACCUUAUUUCACCUAAAAGUCAAACACAAGCCCUGAUCUGAAAUGAAACCUCAAUAACACUAGAACACUCAAAUCAAAAUUAAAUUCCAUAUGAUGAGGAUCGAAGUUGGAGACAUUGGGGCUUUGAUUCCCCACCACAACGUCUACAUCAUAGUAACAAGUAUGACGCAAAGAAGGAAAGGAUGGAAUAAGUGAUGUCUACCUACAGAGCGGAGAGUAGCUCUGGAAAUUGUUUAUAUGCUUGAAUAUGAAGAUGCAAGAGGAGAAAGUAACCCAAAGAUCUAUCAGGGCUGCUGCAAACUUGGUAAACUUGGUGUAAUGAAGAAUAAGAUCUUGAGACUUGACAUGGUCUAAUCAAGGUUUGGCAUGGCAUUUCAUCAUGGUGGAGUCUUGGUGUGGAAGUGAACAUGAAGAUAUUUUGGAAUGAGCUUGAAGAACUUUGGAGGCACACAAAAUAGAAGAUCUUUAUGAUGAAGAAAAGGUAGCAUUAGGGUCAGUUUGACUUUGGUCAACUAUUAGACCAAAAGUCAAUCUUAGGUAAAAAUUAGGAUUUUUGUAUACAAUGCCAAUAUGACCUUUUGUGAUAUACUCAUUUGGUGUUUGAAAUGAGUUUUGGAACUUGAAUUGUAGUUUGUAACUUAUUUUUUAAGAAAUGUACUUUCCCUCCAUUUUUUUGAA